CCCCCCCCCCCCCGGGCACUCUCCAUUUUUAACCCUUUAUUCAUCGCUUUCUCCCGUUUACAGCCGCCUCACACGGUGCCCCACACCUUCGUCUUUAUAUGGGGGGAGAGAUGGGGGGGUGUAAAAUAGGAGGGAAGGCUGAAGCCACGACGACCCUUCCCCCCCCCCCCCCCCCCCCCCCCCCCCCCCCCCCCCCCCCCCCCCCCCCCCCCCCCCCCAUCCCCCAUCCAUCACCUCUGCACGGGGGGGAGGGGGAGGGGGAAAAGAUGGAGUCAAAAUGGCCGCCGUCGUCGUGGUAAGGGGGGGGAGGGGGGGGGAGGAUGAUGGCCACCGGGGGGGGCAAGUCUGUUUUUCGGUGAAGAUGGCCGCAGUCUGGAGAGGGCGAGCUGGGCGCCGUGGGGCUGGGGCUGCUGGAGGCCGCUGGAACCAAGAUGGCCACCAUGAUCACGUGCUCAAUGGAACCAAGAUGGCCGCCACGAUCACGUGUUCACUGGAGACAAGAUGGCCGCCGUGUUACAGUGCCAGCUGGAGUCAAGAUGGCCGCCAUGGUGCUUUGUCUACUGGAAUCAAGAUGGCUGCCACGAUGCAUUGUCCACUGAAACCAAGAUGGCCACCAGGAUCAUGAGUCUGCUGGAAUCAAGAUGGCCGCCAUGACGCAGUGUCAGCUGGAGUCAGGAUGGCUGCCACGAUCACGUGUCCACUGGAACCAAGAUGGCUGCCACGAUCACGUGUUCUCUGGAUCCAAGAUGGUCGCCAUGAUCACGUGUCCACUGGAACCAAGAUGGCCGCCACCAUCACGUGUUCUCUGGAACCAAGAUGGCUGCCAUGAUCACGUGUCCACUGGAACCAAGAUGGCCGCCAUGAUCACAUGUCCACUGGAAUCAAGAAGGCCGCCACCAUCACGUGUCCUCUGGAACCAAGAUGGCCGCCAUGAUGCUGUGCUUACAUGAACCAAUAUGGCCGCCAUGAUCACGUGUCCACUGGAGUCAAAACUGCCGCCACGGUCACGUGUCCACUGGAAUCAAAAUGGCCGCCACAAUCACGUGUCCACCGGAUCCAAGAUGGCCGCCGCCAGACGUGAGGUCACCCAGUUGAAAGAUGGCCGCCCCCACCCGACGCCGCCAUUUUCAAGGUUGCCGCCAGCUCCGCCAUUACCGCAUCCAAGAUGGACGCCAGUACCCAUCACAGCUUCCGCUUCAAGAUGGCUGCCCGUCCCCCACAGCUUCCGAUUCAAGAUGGCCGCGGAUGUGACGUCACCGCCCCCCCAGAGGGCGGCCAUGUUGGGCGUUCCGUGGCGGCAAAGCCCAUUGGCCACUUUGGGGUCACGUGGUGACCACCUCGGCCUCAACCCAGUCAGCCAUCUUGAGUCGCCCAUUGGCCAUCUUGGCUUCCCUGUCAGCCAUCUUGGCUCCCCUGUCAGCCAUCUUGGCUCGGUCAGCCAUCUUGGCACCCGAGUCAGCCAUCUUAGCUCGGCCAUCUUGGCCUCCCCGUCAGCCAUCUUGGCUCGGUCAGCCAUGUUAGCUUGGCCAUCUUGGCUCCCCUGUCAGCCAUCUUGGGUGGAGGGAGCGUGCGGAGGGGAGGAGGCUGGAUAGAGGGGGGAAGGGAGGAAGGGGGGGGGGGGGGGGGGGGGGGGGGGGGGGGGGGGGGGGGGGGGGGGGGUCACGUUUUGGCCUUCCUCCCUCGCACGGCUGAUGCCGCCCCGGCCGGGGUUGGGGUCUCGGGGGACCCCGCUGGAGCCCCGGCAGAGGAAGAAGAGGAAGAAGAGGAGGACGAAGAAGGGCGAGCGGCUCCGAGGGCGCAGCGCCGGGGGGGGUUCCUCCUCCUCUUCCUCCUCCUCCUCCUCUUCCUCCUUUUAUUCCCCCCCCUCUGCGGCGGGUUGGGAGGUGGGGGAGGCGGGGGGGGGGCGGGAACCGGGCGGCUCCUUCGGCUCCUCGCCCCCCCACCCCCACUUUCGAUGGAGACCCCCGGGUCGCUCCUCUUCCUCCUCUUGGCCGGGGGGGGCCGCCGGCGUCCGCCUUCAUCCCCGCUGCCUUCAUCCGAUGAGGAAGAGGAGGAGGAGGAAGAGGAAGAACAGGAAGGGGGGGAGGAAGGAGAGGACGGAAGUGGGGGAGGAGGAG
This 2117-nucleotide long non-coding RNA is filed under the name Phasianus colchicus (ring-necked pheasant). RNAcentral's name for it is "lncRNA (ENSPCLG00000018893.1)". Lineage: Eukaryota; Metazoa; Chordata; Aves; Galliformes; Phasianidae. The record is from RNAcentral.